Long non-coding RNA from Lathyrus oleraceus (garden pea), 2085 nucleotides. RefSeq lists it as uncharacterized. The record is from RefSeq and is a predicted model, not a curated record. Lineage: Eukaryota; Viridiplantae; Streptophyta; Magnoliopsida; Fabales; Fabaceae. The transcript is spliced from 3 exons.
AAAUUCUUUAUAAAGGUAGGGUUGUGACCCCUAAUUAUUAUCGUUCAAUAGUCGAUAGGGUUUGCCUUUCUUUCGCCACGUCCUAUUCUUCAAUUCUAGAUCUCGAUCGGUUGUGAAUUCUUAGUCUAGCUUCGAUAGAUACCAGAUCUGUGUAGUCCGAUGGAGACCUUCACGGCGACGGUGGUUUUGAUUUCAGAUCUCGAUUGAUUGUAACUUCUUCGUCUAGAUUCCAUCGAUACCAGAUCUGUGAGGUUCCGAUGGAAACCUUUUCGCAGACGGUAGUUUUUAUCAGAUCUGAAUCUUCGUCCAUAAGAUCUACGGUGCAGAGGUGUGAUAUUCACGUUUAUCUUGGUGUUUGGAAUCUAAUCGUCAAGAAGUCCUUUGUUCUUUCUUAAAUCCAGGAUUUCGAGAUAUUUUUCUUGCAGGUACGGUGUUAGAUCGAUGGCCAGAUCGUAGAUCCAGUGUUGAAUAUCUAGAAGCUGCUAUGAUCAAUGGAUCAAUAUUCACGUCUUCCAGAUUCGUACAUGUAUAGAUCUCGGAUCUUGUAAUUAUGUAUUUCGUUGUGAGUUUUAUGAGGAGAAGUUUAAUGGAUGUAUGUAGGUUGUUUCAGGAUUGUAUGUCUCGAUUCGGUAACCGUUUUGAGGAUUGAAUCCUGAUUGAUCUUGUCAUCCGGCCUUUGCCAUGUCAGGUGCGCUUGCUUGGCAGGUCAAAAAAUAUAAUAAAAAAGUUUGGUUGGUUUUUGAGAGAGAUCGCACGGGAUUUUUGCCCGGGAUCUUCUCUCGUGUGGUGUCUGCUUUGCUCUCUUUCCUUAUCUCUAUUGUUUCGAUUUGUUUGACACGUUAUAACGUCUCUACGAGGAAUGGAUUAAUCGGAGGAUUUCUCACGCUUCAUAACCAAUCACAUAUCGAGGUAUUAUUAUCCAAUCAUAUAUCGAGGUAUUAUUAUCCACAAUUUCAGUCUAAUCAGUUUGUCGAUAUGGAUUUCUGUCCAGUUAAAGUACAACAGGUAAAAUGAAUUUGGAAUGGCGUGUUAAUCAUUAUUGCUCUAUAGGUUUAAUGUGAAUAUUAAACUUUAUUUAUCCGAUUAUGCAUAGAUCAUGCAUGCCACGGUUAACCUCAAUCAAUUUUUGUUGUAUAUGAUUCAUCACUAAAUUCAGUCAAUUUGGAACCAAUUUUUACAGUAUAUGAUUCAUUACUAAAUUCCAUCAAUUUAGAACCAAUUUUUAUUGUAUAUGAUUCGUUACUAAAUUCUAUCAAUUUAGAACUACCAAAUUCCAUCCAUUUAGAUUCGUCACCAAAUUCAACUCUUUUCCAACUGAUUCAAAGUAUUGUAUAUGGUUCGCUCGGUUGUACAAAUUCUUAAUUGUCAUUCACAUAUUUCUAUUCUGUACAAUUCUAAUUGCUACUGUGUUAUAUAUAUAUAUAUAUAUAUAUAUAUAUAUAUAUAUAUAUAUAUAUAUAUCCGUUUCACAUAAAAUAUUUACAUAUAUAGUUUUAGAAUGUUGUAAGAGUUGCCAUAUCUCCUUUUCCAGAAAUUUGCAGUAUUUGUUAUCCGGAGAAUAUCUUUAUUAAUGCCUCAUGGCAUUGCAUCUCCUACUUUGAAGAUGAAGACAAGGCUUCAUAUGAACUUUUAGCAAUUACAAAAUAUGAAAUUCUAGAAGAGGGAGGCUGUUAAAGCUGUUGGUGAAAUUUGAUGAAGCAUUCAAUACCUUUAUUCAUUGAAGCAUGCAUACUCGUCAAUCUGUAAGUGUUGCACCAGCAGAAUGAGAAUUCUAAACAAAGGCUCAUCCCGAGGAGUACUACUUUGAACGAAUACCAACCGUCUUAUUUCGAGGCGUAUUACUUUGAAUGAAUCUAACAGUUGUGCACUGACCAGGUAAAAUAUUGUACACUUAGCCAUGGCUUUCCUACAAUUUGUUAAAUACAUUUCAUUUGUUUUAUACAUUUGAGCGUGGUGACUUCUUAUUUAUGUUAUGUGCCUCUUUUGGUAUAUUUCCUUAUGUACACGAAAGAUCUGUAGCUCAAUUCGGUAGAGCGCUCUGAGUAUUUUGUAUAUAAAUCUCUGAGAUGUGUUGGUUCAAAUCCA